UCAGGGUUGUUAACGAUAAUACUACAGUGUAGCUUGUGGACAGUACUCUCACCGAGUAUUGUUGAACACUGUUUGUCGAACGGUACUUGCUCUGUACUACGCAUUGUAUGUGUUGUGUUCAGCAAUUCCCGUUUAAGUGAAGAACACAGUGCAACAUGUGCACGCUGUUAUUCACUACGUUAGUUAGCUAGUUUACUAACGUAUGAUAGCGGUGCAUACUGUAUGACAUGAACAUAUCGUUGUUCACUGUUUAAUCGCUCUCGCGACUUAUGAGCGUGGUUGAACGGAGACAAUGUGAAGGACAACGAUGUUCGCCAUGUGGAUGUGUCAUUUGCAAUGCAACCUGAGCUCAGGCGUGAUUACCCGCUGAACUUAAGCAUAUCAUUUAGCGGAGGAAANNNAACUAAA
This 408-nucleotide ribosomal RNA is filed under the name Necator americanus (New World hookworm). Its description in RNAcentral is "eukaryotic LSU rRNA". The stretch from base 340 to 408 matches the Rfam family "Eukaryotic large subunit ribosomal RNA", at positions 1 to 69 of the family's 3401-position model. The record is from RNAcentral. Lineage: Eukaryota; Metazoa; Nematoda; Chromadorea; Rhabditida; Ancylostomatidae.